GGAGUAACACGUAGAGUAACCUGCCCCACGACUCUGGGAUAACCCCGGGAAACCGGAGCUAAUACCGGAUACGACACGAAGAGGCAUCUCUAUCGUGUGGAAAGUUUUUCGGUCUGGGAUGGACUCGCGGCCUAUCAGCUUGUUGGUGAGGUAACGGCUCACCAAGGCGACGACGGGUAGCCGGCCUGAGAGGGCGACCGGCCACACUGGGACUGAGACACGGCCCAG
This 228-nucleotide ribosomal RNA is filed under the name uncultured bacterium. RNAcentral's name for it is "partial 16S ribosomal RNA". It matches the Rfam family "Bacterial small subunit ribosomal RNA", at positions 107 to 334 of the family's 1533-position model. The record is from RNAcentral.